GACGAACGCUGGCGGCGCGCUUAACACAUGCAAGUCGAACGGAAAGGCCUGCUUUCCCUUGUGGAUUGCGGGUACUCGAGUGGCGAACGGGUGAGUAACACGUGAGUGAUCUGCCCCCAACUUGGGUAUAAGCCUGGGAAACUGGGUCUAAUUCCCGAUAGGACUGCAGGGUGGUGCCUGUGGUGGAAAACGAUUUUCUAGUGGUUGGGGAUGAGCUCGCGGCCUAUCAGCUUGUUGGUGGGGUAAUGGCCUACCAAGGCGGCGACGGGUAGCCGGCCUGAGAGGGGGGACGGCCACAUUGGGACUGGGAUACGGCCCAGACUCCUACGGGAGGCAGCAGUGGGGAAUAGUGCACAAUGGGCGGAAGCCUGAUGCAGCGACGCCGCGUGGGGGAUGACGGCCUUCGGGUGGUAAACUCCUUUCGACCGCGAGGAAGCCACCUGGUUGGAAGGGUGGUGACGGUAGUGGUAGAAGAAGCACCGGCUAACUACGUG
This 494-nucleotide ribosomal RNA is filed under the name uncultured bacterium. RNAcentral describes it as "partial 16S ribosomal RNA". It matches the Rfam family "Bacterial small subunit ribosomal RNA", at positions 28 to 507 of the family's 1533-position model. The record is from RNAcentral.